This 575-nucleotide ribosomal RNA is filed under the name uncultured Bacteroidota bacterium. RNAcentral describes it as "bacterial SSU rRNA". It matches the Rfam family "Bacterial small subunit ribosomal RNA", at positions 77 to 649 of the family's 1533-position model. Lineage: Bacteria; Pseudomonadati; Bacteroidota. The record is from RNAcentral.
AGCUUGCUCUUGAUGACGAGUGGCGCACGGGUGAGUAACGCGUAUGCAAUCUACCUUUAACUGAGGGAUAGCCCAGAGAAAUUUGGAUUAAUACCUCAUAAUAAUAUUUUUUGGCAUCAUUAAAUAUUUAAAACUUCGGUGGUUAUAGAUGAGCAUGCGUUCUAUUAGUUUGUUGGUGAGGUAAUGGCUCACCAAGACUACGAUAGAUAGGGGGCCUGAAAGGGUGAUCCCCCACACUGGUACUGAGACACGGACCAGACUCCUACGGGAGGCAGCAGUGAGGAAUAUUGCACAAUGGAGGAAACUCUGAUGCAGCCAUGCCGCGUGCAGGAUGACGGCCCUAUGGGUUGUAAACUGCUUUUUUACAAGAAGAAACCUUGGUACGUGUACCAACUUGACGGUAUUGUAAGAAUAAGCACCGGCUAACUCCGUGCCAGCAGCCGCGGUAAUACGGAGGGUGCAAGCGUUAUCCGGAUUUAUUAGGUUUAAAGGGUUCGCAGGCGGAAUUUUAAGUCAGUGGUGAAAGCCUAUAGCUCAACUAUAGAACUGCCAUUGAUACUGAAAUUCUUGAGUGU